AAGCAUCGGCUAACUCCGUGCCAGCGGCCGCGGUAAUACGGAGGAUGCAAGCGUUAUCCGGAAUCAUUGGGCGUAAAGGGUCCGCAGGUGGCGAAUAAAGUCUGCUGUUAAAGACCGGGGCUAAACUCCGGAAAGGCAGUGGAAACUGAUUAGCUAGAGUACGGUAGGGGUAGAGGGAAUUCCCAGUGUAGCGGUGAAAUGCGUAGAUAUUGGGAAGAACACCGGUGGCGAAAGCGCUCUACUAGGCCGAAACUGACACUGAGGGACGAAAGCUAGGGUAGCGAAAGGGAUUAGAUACCCCUGUAGUCUUAGCGGUAAACGAUGGAUACUAGGUGUAGCUUGUAUCGACCCGAGCUGUGCCGAAGCUAACGCGAUAAGUAUCCCGCCUGGGGAGUACGCACGCAAGUGUGAAACUCAAAGGAAUUGACGGGGGCCCGCACAAGCGGUGGAGUAUGUGGUUUAAUUCGAUGCAACGCGAAGAACCUUACCAGGGCUUGACAUGUCGCGAAUCUAGCGGAAACGUUAGAGUGCCUUAGGGAAUGCGAACACAGGUGGUGCAUGGCUGUCGUCAGCUCGUGUCGUGAGAUGUUGGGUUAAGUCCCGCAACGAGCGCAACCCUCGUCCUUAGUUGCCAAUAUUAAGUUAGGCACUCUAGGGAGACUGCCGGGGACAACUCGGAGGAAGGUGGGGAUGACGUCAAGUCAGCAUGCCCCUUACGUCCUGGGCGACACACGUACUACAAUGGUUGGGACAAAGGGCAGCAAACUCGCGAGAGUAAGCGAAUCUCAUCAAACCCAGCCACAGUUCAGAUUGCAGGCUGCAACUCGCCUGCAUGAAGUAGGAAUCGCUAGUAAUCGCAGGUCAGCAUACUGCGGUGAAUUCGUUCCCGGGCCUUGUACACACCGCCCGUCACACCAUGGAAGCUGGCUACGCCCGAAGUCGUUACCCUAACCCGGUUUUGGGAGGGGGAUGCCGAAGGUAGAGCUAGUGACUGGGGUGAAGUCGUAACAAGGUAGCCGUACCGGAAGGUGUGGCUGGAUCACCUCCUUUACAGGGAGACCUAGUCUAAUUACCAAUAGAUAAAAAAGUUGGUAAUUCGCAAGAAUCCUUAGGUCGUGAGGGGAGCAAGAAAAAACUUUCAAACUGUAAUGGGUGAGGGUCAAUGGGCUAUUAGCUCAGGUGGUUAGAGCGCACCCCUGAUAAGGGUGAGGUCCCUGGUUCAAGUCCAGGAUGGCCCACCUAAAAUACACAGGCAUCCUGCCUGUGCCACAAAAAAAGGAAAAAGUUUUGGCAUUGUCUCUUGUAAUCAAGAGCAAGAGAUAAUGCUGGAAUAGAUUCCAGCAAG
RNAcentral lists this unclassified non-coding RNA (1345 nucleotides) under uncultured cyanobacterium. Its description in RNAcentral is "bacterial SSU rRNA". The stretch from base 1 to 1050 matches the Rfam family "Bacterial small subunit ribosomal RNA", at positions 488 to 1533 of the family's 1533-position model. Lineage: Bacteria; Bacillati; Cyanobacteriota. The record is from RNAcentral.